GCUGGGCGUGGUGGCGGACGCCUGUAAUCCCAGCUACUUGGGAGGCUGAGGCAGAGAAUUGCUUGAACCUGGGAGGCAGGGGUUGCAGUGAGCCGAGAUUGUGCCACUGCACUCCAGCCUGGGUGACACAGUGAGACUCUUUCUCAA
RNAcentral lists this small RNA (147 nucleotides) under Pongo abelii (Sumatran orangutan). RNAcentral's name for it is "Metazoan signal recognition particle RNA (ENSPPYG00000032115.1)". Lineage: Eukaryota; Metazoa; Chordata; Mammalia; Primates; Hominidae. The record is from Rfam by way of RNAcentral.